AUGCAGCUGCCCCCCGCUCUCGCCGCCCUCGGUGGGCAGGGUGCCGCCCUCCGCUCCUCCGGGCUGGUCCUUGGCAGCCAGGACCGCCGGGGCCGGCUGCAUUCCCUGACUCAGGUGCAGCACAGAGGGGGCCUGGCCCAUCACCCCGUGCUGCGGAAAGUGCUGGAUCGGGGGCUGCCCCUGGCCCAGCCCCAGGAGGCCCUGCUGGGCCGCUGCCCCCGAGUUCUGCUGCUGCGGGGCCAGCAGCGCCCGUGCCUGCCCCAGCUGCUGGGACAGCACGAGCCGGUGGCCCAGCAUCCCCGGAGUCUGUGGCGAACCCAGCACCCGCUGCUGGUGGGGGGCCAGCAGGACCUGCCGCUGGGGUGGGGGGUGGCCCAGCACCGCCUGGUGCUGCAGCCCCGGCGCGUGGCCCAGCAAGCCCGACUGCUGCUGCUGCUGCUGCUGCUGCUGCUGCUGGCUCUGCUGCGGCUGCGCCAGGGCCACCUGCACGCCGUGGGGGGCUGCCAGGACGUGGGGCUGCCCGGAGGCCAUGCCCAUGUGGGGGCCCAGCGCCGGACCCUGCUGGGGGGUCCCAAGCCGCGGGGGCUGCGGUGGCAUCAACUGCGGCCUGGCCACCAGCCCCAGCUGCAGGGGGGGCUGCGGGGUGCCCAGGCGGGGUGGCUGCGCGUCCAUGGGCUGCGCGGCCGCGUGCAGCAUGGGGUGCCCCGGGGCGGGGAGUUGCGGGGUUCCCCGCGGCAGGUGGGCCGACAUCUGCUGCUUCUUCUGCAGCUCCUUCUUCUCGUGCUCCAGGAGGUCCUCGAUGAGCAGGGGCAGCUCGCUGGCCACCAAGGAACUCUCCAUCUUGUCCAGCUCGUCGGCCGGCGAGUGCCGCGCGCUGCCCAGCCCCAGCGCCCCGCUGUCCAGCUCGAAUUUCUCCAACAAGGGGUUGCUCUGGUUGCCCAGCUGGGCAGGGGCCAGCCCGCGCCCGGUGCCAGCGUACGGGUCCUUCUCCAACGUGGAGCUGCUGUUUGGGAAAUGAGUCAAGCCGAGGCGAGCGGGGCCAGUGCUGGGGCUCAGGAGGCUCUGGCUCGGUUUGAGGCUCAGCCCCAGCGACGCAGAGAUCUUAUCCGUGCCCUGCAGGGCCUCCGACUUGACAGGGAGCCGCUCGGAGCCGCCGGCGGUGAAUUGACAAGGUGAGGUCUUCAAGCACCCAUCCUCCAGUUUGGGUUUGACGUCGGUGGGCAGCGCGGUCGCCUUCGCCUCCAGAGCUUGUGGCUUGAAAGUUGGGUCGGGGGGCAGCGCCGCGCCGGGCACCAGCCCCUCUUUGGGCACAUCGCGGUCCUCCGCCGCUGGCGCCGCGUCUUUGCCAUCCCCGGGGUCAGGGAGCUUCAAGCUGGGUCCCGUUGGCUCCGUCUUGAGCUGUGCCUCGCGCUCAGCCUUCUCGUUGGCCGACUCGACCAGGCGGAGGUGCUCGUUGAAGAUGUCCUUCUUGUCUCCGGUGUCCAGCUCGGGGUCGGUGUAAGCCAGCAGGUCGAACUCGUCGCCGUUCAGCAGGUCGUCCAGGUGAGGGUCCGCCGUCUCCAGGCUGUCCAGGUUGCCCAAAUCAUCGUCCCCUUUGGCCACGUCCGGAUCCAGGCUCAGGUUUGCCAAAUCGUCGUCGUCUUCCAAAUCCUUGUGGGAGCCGAAGUCGUCGUCCAAGUCGGGCUCCACCGGCACCUCGCAGGGCAGCCGCCCGCCCUCCAGGCUCAGGUGGCUUUUCCCCGGGGCCGGGGUCGGAGCCGUGCCAUCCUUGGUGCCGUCGGGGCGCAGGGCAGAGCCGGAAGACAGCGGGCGCGGGGGGACGUGCUGCAGCUCCAGGCCAGGGGUGGGCAGCGGGGCGGGGGGCACCGCUUUGGCGUGCAGCUGGUGGUGGCUGUUGCUCAUCUCGGUGCCUUGCGGCGAGGCGGGAGGCAGCGGCACCACCGGCAUCUUUUGGGGCUGCAGCGCCGGAGCGGGGAGCGCCUGCAUGGGCACCACUGGGGCACAGAGGGGCUGCGGGGUGCUCUCCUCCCCGGGCAGGAAAAAGCGAGGCCGGGGGGGUUGGGGGGUGAAAGGGGAACCCACGAUCCCGCCGGGUCCCUUCUGCACGUUGUGUCGCAGCUCGAUGAAGGGUGCGCCCAGGGUGCCGGGGGAUGCGGGCACCGGUUCGGCGGGUGCU
Numida meleagris (helmeted guineafowl) is the source of this 2176-nucleotide long non-coding RNA. Lineage: Eukaryota; Metazoa; Chordata; Aves; Galliformes; Numididae. The record is from Ensembl.